CUGACGCCUGGUGGCGUUGGGGGCAGGGCCCCGCCCGAAGGCCGCCUCAGGCUGGCGUCAGCCUGCCUCGGCCGUGGCGGCGUGAGCCGUGUCGGGGCGUGCGGAGUUGGCCGGCGGUGGUCGAGUCAGUCGGAGCCUGAGCUCGGGAGCGGCUCGAGCCGCUCCUUGGAAAUGUUAGUCUGUCUUGUUCCUGCAUUCUGUCAAGAGUACUUUGUACAGUUACUCCUGCCUGGCUUGAAGUCUGGUGGAUGAAGAGGAACCUUUUAGCCCAAAAUAUUGGAGAAUUUUUCUUCUGGAAGUGUAAUGUUACUUACAACUCAUUUUAAAAAGCUUUGUGUGACGUAUCUUUUCUCAUUGUCUUUGCAAUUGAUAAAAAAAUGGAACUGAUGCAUUUGUAACUGGCAUUGAAGAACUGUCAUAAUAUGAGAGUCCAUGUCUUGCUAUUCUCAGUGUAGGCCCUACAGAGGCAUCGGAUACAAUGACAGCAGUCUCUUCAUAUAGUAACAAAACUGAGACAUACAGUUGAGGAAAGGAGAUACUGAUUAAAAAAAAGAUGUAAUUGUAGAAAGCAUCCUGUUUUGGAGGAGCACUCAUUUUCCUCAGGUUGAUUAAGAAUGAGAGGAAAGAGUGUUUCCCCUUUGGGAUGUAUUUAUUUUAAGUAGUGAAGUCUAAAACUCAUGAAUUAUCUAACUUUUUAAACCUUUUUGGUAUUAGGUGAAAUUUUGGGGCUGUGUGUAAUAGAAGGUACUACAGCUACAUUUUGAUAAAUCCAGCUAUGCAUGACAGAUUAUUGAACAGUAUGUGAGUUUCCAAUCCUGUGUAUGUUUAGUGCAUAAAAAUAUGCCCAGUGCUGGGCAGUUAUUUAUUGAUAUAACUAUAGUUUGUACUGGUUGAAAUAUUUAAAUAAUAUGAUUGUUCAGUCAAAUCAGGAUUAGUCUCUUAAUAAUUCAGAAAAUAUUGGAACUGUUUGUUUUGGGUAUUUUUUUAACUUGGAGAUUUAACUUAGAUUCACCAGGAGACUUAAUGAAGUUGGAUUGGUGAAUGAUACUGUGCUUUCAAAAGAGAUGUGGCAGAACUAUGUUUGAAUCCAUUUUGUGCUUAAUUCAAAACGAACACUUAAAAAUUACUCUUGUACUGUUUGGAUGAAUUUUCCUAACAAUGCCACUGUGGGUUUCCUGUUUGUUGAAACUUUUCAAUGUUUAAUUAAAUAAAUAUGGUGAAUAAA
Rhea pennata is the source of this 1225-nucleotide long non-coding RNA. RefSeq lists it as uncharacterized. NCBI's taxonomy places the organism in Eukaryota, Metazoa, Chordata, Aves, Rheiformes, Rheidae. The transcript is spliced from 2 exons. The record is from RefSeq and is a predicted model, not a curated record.